RNAcentral lists this ribosomal RNA (486 nucleotides) under uncultured bacterium. RNAcentral describes it as "partial 16S ribosomal RNA". It matches the Rfam family "Bacterial small subunit ribosomal RNA", at positions 28 to 523 of the family's 1533-position model. The record is from RNAcentral.
GACGAACGCUGGCGGCGUGCUUAACACAUGCAAGUCGAACGGAUCUUCUCUUUGUAGCAAUACUUGGGGUUGGUUAGUGGCGAACGGGUGAGUAACACGUGAGAAACCUGCCCUGAAGACGGGGAUAACUGACCGAAAGGUCUGCUAAUACCCGAUGUCCUCAUGUGAUCGCAUGGUUGUGUGAGGAAAUGGAUUCCGCUUUAGGAGGGUCUCGCGGGCUAUCAGCUAGUUGGUGAGGUAAUGGCUCACCAAGGCGACGACGGCUAGCUGGUCUGAGAGGACGACCAGCCACACUGGGACUGAGACACGGCCCAGACUCCUACGGGAGGCAGCAGUGGGGAAUCCUGCGCAAUGGGCGGAAGCCUGACGCAGCAACGCCGCGUGUGGGAUGACGGCUUUCGGGUUGUAAACCACUUUCAGCAGGAACGAAAUUGACGGUACCUGCAGAAGAAGCACCGGCCAACUACGUGCCAGCCGCCGCCGUAA